UGCUGACGAGUGGCGAACGGGUGAGUAAUACAUCGGAACGUGCCCGAUCGUGGGGGAUAACGGAGCGAAAGCUUUGCUAAUACCGCAUACGAUCUACGGAUGAAAGCAGGGGACCGCAAGGCCUUGCGCGAACGGAGCGGCCGAUGGCAGAUUAGGUAGUUGGUGGGAUAAAAGCUUACCAAGCCGACGAUCUGUAGCUGGUCUGAGAGGACGACCAGCCACACUGGGACUGAGACACGGCCCAGACUCCUACGGGAGGCAGCAGUGGGGAAUUUUGGACAAUGGGCGAAAGCCUGAUCCAGCCAUGCCGCGUGCAGGAUGAAGGCCUUCGGGUUGUAAACUGCUUUUGUACGGAACGAAAAGACUCUGGUUAAUACCUGGGGUCCAUGACGGUACCGUAAGAAUAAGCACCGGCUAACUACGUGCCAGCAGCCGCGGUAAUACGUAGGGUGCAAGCGUUAAUCGGAAUUACUGGGCGUAAAGCGUGCGCAGGCGGUUAUAUAAGACAGAUGUGAAAUCCCCGGGCUCAACCUGGGA
This 537-nucleotide ribosomal RNA is filed under the name uncultured Acidovorax sp. RNAcentral's name for it is "bacterial SSU rRNA". It matches the Rfam family "Bacterial small subunit ribosomal RNA", at positions 86 to 619 of the family's 1533-position model. The record is from RNAcentral. Lineage: Bacteria; Pseudomonadati; Pseudomonadota; Betaproteobacteria; Burkholderiales; Comamonadaceae.